RNAcentral lists this ribosomal RNA (9321 nucleotides) under Triticum aestivum (bread wheat). Its description in RNAcentral is "partial small subunit ribosomal RNA". The record is from RNAcentral. Lineage: Eukaryota; Viridiplantae; Streptophyta; Magnoliopsida; Poales; Poaceae.
AUGCCCAUAUCUUAUGAGAUGGAGGGUGGGCCUACUGUACUGCAGUUAUAUAAAUGGAAAAGCUUGCAUCCCUGUCUUGAACUAUCGAAAUUCCGGGAAGCGUUCAUUUCUCCUACAAGGCGCCUGUUUGGACUGCUCUCGGAACAUGGCGAUCUUGUUCUGUCAACUGUCAAUGUCCAACCAUCACAAGUUGAAUCACCUAUGGCUCUCUCAUAUAGUAGCUUGCCAGUGUUUGAGCGUUUUUCUUCUAUUCCCAGAGUGAAGUCUUUAGCAUGGGGGCACUGCUGUGAUGCUUCUAGUCAACUUGAGGUUCCGGCUUUCAGUGAAUUUCUUGUUUUGUCUAGUGAUGAUUCUAUCACAGUUCAUGCGUUUUGUCAUUCUGAGAAAAGUGCAGUAACAGUCAAUUGUGAUACUGAAGAGCUGCAUGGGGAGUGGAAAGAAUGGUUUCCUACCAAGUGCUCAGCGUCUGAGGAUGGCGAGUCGGGUGCAAGGAACUGCUUUCGCUCUUUUCUGACUACAAUCAGUGCAUCUGUUUGCAACGGAAAAUACCAAGCCAGAUUUCCUCUGAAGUCUUCAUUACCUCAUUCUGCAGAGGUGGUAUCAUUUAGCAUAUAUGAUAUUACUAUGUCCUUUCUGAAAUUCUGGUUAAGCAGUUGUGCUAUGAAGACUAGGAUGGAAACUGACAGUGGAUCUCCUGAAGAUGUUCCAAGUCAUGUACCUGUAGCUGAAGAAUCAUGCAGUUGCCAGUGGGAAUGUUUAAAAGUUUUGCCUAGCUCUUCCGGUUAUUUGACUGGUUUAGUCUUAACUCCUAAUGAAUCAGUAAAUUGCGAGGUCCAUCAACGCAACGCCAAAGAUAUUUUGGUGGCUAUCCUUGAGCUAAACCAUUGGGGUAUACAGUGGAACUUUGUGGUAGACCUUCAGACUGCAUAUGAUGAUGUGGGGCCUAAUCCACAGUGGGUCGAUUUCCAACUGUCAGAUAUAUUUCUUGCCUCCCUUAAUGCAGUGGGUUUUGUCGCCAUUUGGAAUGCAAAAACUGGUCACCCUAUCAGCUCGUUUAGUGUUCUUGAUCGGUGCAGAAUAGAUCUGGAGAUGCCUUUGCCCACUGUAACAAAUGUAGGAGAAAACACCUGUGUUGGGAAUGUCGUUGGCAGAAUGUUCAAGAUGUUAGUUUUGGCACCACAUUCUCCACUUGUUGCUGCUGUAGAUGAGGUUGGGGUAGUCUAUGUGUUCUAUGCUGACGAUAUCUUAAAUUUCAAAGCCAAUGCACAUGAAAAGUUUGACCAGCCUUCUAUAAAUCAUUAUGGCGAUAAUUUUGCUGCCUGGGAAACUGCUGGUCAUGAGAUCGGGAGUCAAACAUUUUGCAGUCAUCAGCCAAUUAGACAAGGGUCACUUAAUCGAGACGAAAUGGUAUAUGAUUUUUCAGAUAGAGACAAUGCUGGUGUCGUCAGAGCUAGGAAAAGAAGAAAAUACUGUAAAUGUAAUGAAAAUCAAGUGGAUAGCUGGCCAAGUGGUUUCAGUACUACAUCACAAAUGAAAGAUGUGGUAACUUAUCCUUCCACAAUGGCAGCUUCUGCUCAUGUGCGAAGAGUAGUCCUUCCUUCAUGCAGAUUACAGGAGAAUGUAAUAAGCCUCUCACCAUUUGGACUGACAAGGAUCUUUAGAAGUUGCAAUGCAGAGGGAAAUAAACAUGUCAAAAUUAUUCACACAAAGUUGCUUAUGGCUUCAUGUUCACUUGACGAGAGAGAUAUUGAUGCUGGUUUUCUGGGCAGGAGCCUCCCAUAUCAGAAGGAAUUUUCUUUUGCUGGCGAAUCUGCUGUUUGCUCCUUUCAGGGAUAUUUGUAUUUGAUUUCGCAGGAUAACCUUUCUGUGGUCCUUCCAUCAGUGUCUGUAUCGUCUUUUUCAUCUCGUAUCGAUGCCACUCAAUUUUGGCAACCAGGUUUUAAUGGUGGUAGUGCAUGCAAUGCUCUGAAUUUGUUGUCAGUAAAUAGACUCCGAACAAGAUUGGAGGCCUGGCAAAUAGAGGUUUUGGAUAAAGCAUUGUUGUAUGAAGGACCUUCAUUAGCAGACAGGCUCUGCUGGGAGAAUGGAUGGGACAUGAAAAUCUCCAGGCUGCGCUGGGUGCAAUUGUCAUUGCAUUACACAAAUAUCAGUGAUCUGGAGCAAUCGUUGAAUAUGCUCGCGGAGGUUGAUCUUGCAGAAGAAGGUGUUUUGCAACUGCUAUUGGCAUCUGUUUAUCGGCUAUUAUGUAGCACAAGAAGUGAUCAUGAGGCUGCAGUGUCAUCUAAGUUAAUGGUUUUAGCAGUCCGCUUUGCAACGAGAACAAUCAAGGCUUAUGGGCUUCUUAAGCAAAAGAAAGACAUGCCAGACAAUUCAGUAAAGCUUCAUGAAAUGGCUUUCCUUUUGGGAGUAAUUAGAAGUAUCCAGGGCCGAAUCACCGCAAAGAACCAGAAUUCAAUCCGGAUGCAAGGAGAUGAUAAAAACUCACUGAAAAUAGGCAAAGAAGUACUACAAAAUGAUUCUCCAUCCCCAGUUGUGGUAGUGGAUGGUUUAGAUGCUCCUGACAGACAAGGAUCAACAUCUACUGCAUUUGAGUUUGUUCCUGGUAGUAACAGGCUGUUAGCAUUAGCGCCAGUUGAAUCCUCCCUUACUGCUUCUCAUGACAAUGACACUGAUCAAAGAACCACUCAAGUUGGAAGACCGGUUACUCAAGGAAAUAUCAAGGAUAUGAUGAACCGUUGGGAAAUGAAUAAGUUUGACUUGAAAACAAUAGUCGGUGAAGCACUACAAUCUGGUCGACUACCGUUGGCAGUUCUUCAGCUGCAACUGUUGCGCCAGAGGGAAUCAUGUUCUGGUGAUGAUUUUGAUGACGUUUUCUCCGAAGUUCAUGAAAUAGGAAGAUCCAUUGUUUAUGAUCUGUUAAUGAAGGGUGAAAGUGGACUGGCUGUAGCGACACUAGAAAGACUAGGAGAUGACAUAGAGUCAGACCUUAGACAACUUAUGCAAGGUACUGUCAGAAGGUCACUUAGGCUACAAAUAGCCGAGGAGAUGAAACAGCGUGGGUACAUGCGAUCAAAUGAGUGGAAGAUGUUGGAGACCUUAGCACUGAUUGAGCGUUUUUACCCAAGCAGCAGCUUCUGGGACACAUAUCUUGGCAGGGAGAACGUUAUUCAUGGUGCUGUAAAUAUUGUUACACUUCCAGGGGAAGAUAAACCAGUGCUUGCUCUCCAUAUUCGUAACCACCCUGCUAUUGAAUGUGGUGAUGUUGAUGGAGCUGUGCUUGGUUCUUGGGUGAACGUUAAUGAUUACGCUGAUUUAAAGGAGUUCUCUCAAAGCAACCUUUCCGAUGGAUAUUGGGCAUGUGCUGCUGUGUGGUCUGAUGCUUGGGAUCAAAGAACUGUGGACCGCAUAAUACUGGAUCAGCCUUGUCAUAUUUCUGCUCAAUCGGACCUCCCAUGGGAAUCUCAGUUUGAAUAUUUUGUUGCUCAUGAUGAUGUGGGGGAAGUCUGCAAACUCUUGGACAUGAUUCCUGACAGUGUACUUCUAGAAGGGAUACUUAGCAUUAAUGUGGACAAUUCACGAGCUGGUUACAGCAUUGUGUCUGACGUCAGUGUCCCUGAUUAUAAAAUGUAUAUAUGUGACUCAGAGGAGCUAGAGCCUGUUUGUAUGGAAGUACCACAUGUCAAAGUAUUCAGAUCCUUGUCUAAUCAUGAAUCAACAUCAUGGAUGAGAAUGCUAAUGCAGGAACAACUGGCAAAGAAACACAUCUUUAUGAAAGAGUACUGGCAAAGUACUACCGAAAUUAUACCUUUACUUGCUCGAGCUGGCAUACUUACUAAUACAGCCAAGAUAGGCCCCAAGAAAGAAGCUUCUAUGCCAUUAAUUGCUUCAGAGAUGCCAGAUGAUGAACGUCACCAGGCUUGUGAAAGAGCAUUGCAUAAACUAGUCAUCCGUUUUUGUGUGCAACAUGACUCUCCAUACCUACUCGAUCUCUAUUUGGACAACUGCAAUUUGAUUCUCGGGGAGGACUCUAUUCCUUUGCUCAAAGAAGCUGCAGGUGAUUGCAAGUGGGCACAAUGGUUACUCUUCUCCAGAGUCAAAGGUUAUGAGUAUGAGGCAUCCUUUUCUAACGCCCGUUGGAAUCUGUCACAGAAAAUGGUUAAUCAUGGCAAUCUAACUGCAAUUGAGAUAGAUGAGAUAUUAUAUACUGUUGAUGAUAUGGCUGAACGGAUUGGGGAAAUGUCUGCACUAGCUACCUUAAUGUAUGCUUCACCACCAAUUCAAAAGUCCAUAUGCACUGGUAGUGUGAACAGAAAUCGUGGAUUGUCUUCUCAGUGCACAUUAGAGAACCUAGGUCAUUGUCUCCAGCAAUUUCCAACCCUAUGGAAGACACUUCGUUCCACCUGUUUUGGACAAGAUGGGUAUGGCUGUCUAAAUUAUUCUCCAAAUAAUGUUUCUGGAAAAUCCGCAAUGUCAGAUUACUUGUGCUGGCGCUAUAGCAUUUUUUCCUCUGCUGGAGGAGACACUUCAUUGUUGCAAAUGCUCCCGUGUUGGUUUCCAAAGUCUAUUAGAAGAUUAAUCCAACUAUUUGAACAGGGCCCUUUUGGGAUGCAACUGCUAUCGAGUGCACCGUCAUCUGAAGAGUUAUUUACUCAUGGUGUCACUGAUUACAUAUACAAUACCACUGGAUAUAGUGAAACCAAUGCGUUGUCCUUAGAAGCAUCCAUUCAAAAAAGUGUUGAAGAAGAACUAUAUUCUUCCCUUGAGGAGAAAGACUUGAGGGUAGAGCAUCAUUUGCACCGUGGUCGCGCACUAGCAGCUUUCAGGCAUCUUCUUGGUAAAAGAGCUUCGCAAUUAAAAUCAGCCAAUGCGCGCCAAGUGAUCUCCACACAGUCUGAUGUUCAAGCAGAUGUACAACUGAUCCUAGCCCCUUUAAGUCAAACUGAACGAUCAGUUCUUCUAUCGGUGGCUCCACUAGCUAUCACAAACUUCGAGGACUCCACACUGGUUGCUUCCUGCACAUUCCUGUUGGAACUAUGUGGCAUGUGUGCUAACAUGCUCCGUCUAGAUAUUGCUGCUCUUCAGCGCAUCUCUUCCUACUAUAACUUGGCUCAGCAAAAUAAACAAAGUGAGCUAUCUUCACCAAGGAGCACUGGGUUACAUGUGCUCUCCCAUGGAGCUGAUAUUGCUCCUGCUCUUGCUCGAGCAUUAGCUGAAGAUUAUGUCCAGUCUGAUCAUCUUCAGAUUUUAGAGCAGAAGCAAACCUCGAGGGGUCCUAAAAGGGAACAACCAUCACAGCCUCUUAUUGCUAUACUGGAGCACCUGGAACGAGCAAGUUUGCCAUUAUUAGAUGAAGGUAGAACCUGUGGAUUUUGGCUUUUGAGUGGCAUUGGUGAUGCAUCUCUUUACCGGUCGCAGCAAAAUGAAGCCAGCCAACAUUGGAAUUUGGUUACAGAAUUCUGUCUAGCGCACCAUCUCCCAUUAAGUACAAAAUAUCUGGCUUUACUGGCCAAUGACAAUGAUUGGGUUGGUUUUCUAACAGAAGCCCAGAGAGCUGGUUUUCCAAUUGAAGUUGUUAUCGGAGUGGCUUCCAAAGAGAUAAAGGACGCAAGAUUGAGGACUCAUAUACUAACAGUUCUGAAAAACACGUUAUCAAAUAGAAGGAAAUCGUCUAGCAAUAUACCCUCGGGUAGUAGGGACCCAUCCUUUUUGUCUGUUGAUGGCGACAACCCCAUGGAACUUUUCUGCAUACUUGCUGUUUGUGAAAAGCAAAAGAACCCUGGGGAGGCACUUCUGAAUAAAGCAAAACAAAUGCAGUGGUCUUUAUUGGCGUUGAUUGCUUCAUGCUUUCCAGAUGUAACUCUUCUCUCAUGCUUAAGCGUUUGGCUUGAGAUUACAGCUGCAAGGGAGUUGUCCUUAAUCAAGGUGGAUGGUAUUUCCUCUAAAGUAGCUAAGAAUGUUGGAUCUGCUGUUGAGGUCACAAAUAAGUUGCCAAGCGUGAGUAGGAAUGUUGAAUAUCGUUACAACAGGAAGAAUCCAAAGCGAAGACGGUUCUUGGAGGCCUCUCCAGAUAGCUUCAAAUCAGGUUUUUCGCUGGACAUUCCAAGUGGGGCAAAUGGUACUGCAACUUCCAAUCCUUCCAAUAUUGAGGCUCAGCAGGAAAGAAGAAAGCCCACCUCCGAAGAGACUGAAAUUCCAGUUGAUAUUGAUGAGAGGCUUGCAUCUUUAUCAAGUAUAGUAGCAGUGCUGUGUGAACAACAGCUGUUCCUACCAUUACUUCGAUCCUUUGACUUGUUUCUACCAUCCUGCUCCCUUCUCCCCUUCAUCCGUUCUCUUCAGGCGUUUUGUCAAAUGCGCUUGUCCGAGGCCUCUGCACAUUUGACAUCAUUUUCAGCAAGGAUAAAAGAUGAAGCCUCUCAAUCAAACUCGUUCAAAGAAGCAUCAUCAAUAACAGGAUGGGUAGUUGCUACAGCUGUAAAAGCCGCAGAUGCAGUACUCUCAACCUGCCCAUCACUUUAUGAGAAGAGGUGUUUGCUACAGCUCCUUGCAGCGGUUGAUUUUGCAGAUGGUGGUUCUUCGUCAGCUUACUUCGGCCGCAGUUAUUGGAAAAUCAAUCUGGCUGAGCCGUCCUUAUGCAAAGAUGGUGAUAUCUACAAGUGGAACGAUUCCAUGGAUGAUGCUUCUCUCCUGGCAGCAUUAGAGAAGGAUGGACGAUGGGAGGACGCUCGUACUUGGGCAAGGCAACUGGAGUCGAGUGAUAUAGCUUGGGAAUCUACUUUUGAUCAUGUGACGGAAUCACAGGCAGAAGCUAUGGUUGCCGAAUGGAAGGAGUUUCUCUGGGAUAUUCCACAAGAACGUGCAGCUUUGUGGGGCCACUGUCAGUCGCUUUUCAUGAGAUAUUCUUUGCCACCUUUACAGGCUGGAUUAUUUUUCCUUAAGCAUGCUGAAGCAUUAGGGAAAGAGAUACCAGCACGAGAGCUCCAUGAAAUACUUUUGCUAUCUUUACAAUGGCUUACUGGAACUAUUACUAAAUCCUCUCCGGUAUAUCCUCUUCAUCUUCUCCGGGAAAUUGAGACUCGGGUUUGGCUCCUGGCAGUUGAGUCAGAGACUCACUCUAAGGCUGAUGGCGAAUCUUCUGUUGUUUCUCAGAGUCUAGCUAUUGGAAACAGUACCAGUAUUAUAGAACAGACUGCUGAUGUCAUCACAAAAAUAGACAGUAGUAUGAGUUUGCCAAGCAUGAAAGCUGCAGAAAAAAAUGGUACAAGGGACAAUAACUUAUCACACCAUCUACAUUUGCAACUAUUUGAAUAUAACAGUGAAGCAACAACAACAACAAAUAAUGCAAGAGCAAAGCGAAGGGGCAAAACAAAUCUACCACUUAGACGAGGUGUCACUGAUAAUGUUGAAAGUAGCACCAAUGAUUCUGAUGAUAAUUCUAAAGUUUUCUUUCGUUCUAAGAUUGGCGAACAAGCAAGAAAAUUACUAUCUGAAGAGGAAUUUGCAAAGAUGGAAGCGUCUCUGUCUGGUUGGGAGCAACAUGUCAGGCCUGCAGAUAUGGAGAAGGCUGUGCUCUCCUUAUUAGAAUUUGGGCAAAUAACUGCAGCUAAGCAACUCCAACAAAAGUUAUCUCCAUCAUAUGUUCCUGAAGAACUUGUCCUCGUUGAUGUUGCGUUAAGAGUUGCAAAUAACGGCGGUGAUGGAGAGAUCAAUUUAUUAUCCUUUGAUACAGAAGCCCUUUCAAUACUUCAAUCUCUCCAGAUUGCAAGUGGCAGCAAUAUGAUUGAUCCAUCACAGGCUAUGGAGAAAUUAGCCGUGAAAUGUGGCGAGGGGCGCGGACGGGCUCUUAUUAGGAGAAUAAUAGCGGUUGUGCAAACUGCAAAAAUACUGGGACUCCCAUUUUCUGAAGCAUUUGAGAAACAGCCAAUUGAACUUCUGCAGUUGCUUUCACUGAAAGCUCAGGAUUCUUUUGAUGAAGCUAAAUUUCUGGUGGAGACACACAUCAUGCCUGCAUCUAGCAUUGCAAGAAUUCUUGCUGAUUCCUUUCUGAAGGGACUUUUAGCUGCACAUCGUGGAGGUUAUCUGGACUCCCAAAAAGAAGAAGGCCCUGCACCACUAUUGUGGAGAUCAAGUGACUUCUUGAAGUGGGCAAAACUAUGCCCAUCAGAACCAGAAAUUGGUCACGCUUUAAUGCGUUUGGUAAUGACUGGGCAUGAAGUACCGCAUGCUUGUGAGGUUGAACUCCUUAUACUGUCACAUCACUUCUACAUGUCAUCUUCUUGUCUUGAUGGUGUGGAUGUUCUCGUCACAUUUGCAGCUAAUAGAGUGGAUUCAUAUGUUUCAGAGGGGGAUUUUUCCUGCUUAGCUCGCUUGAUAACUGGAGUGAGCAAUUUUCACUCCUUGAGCUUCAUCCUUUCCAUCCUUAUAGAAAAUGGCCAAUUGGAGUUGCUACUUCAAAAGUAUUCUUCCACUGACACAGCCACAGUGGCACCUGCAUCAGUUCGAGGGUUUAGGUUGGCUGUUAUUACAUCACUGAAACAUUUCAACCCAAAUGAUGAUGAGGCUCUGUCUCUGGUAUACAAGCACUUCGACAUGAAACAUGAGGCGGCUUCCCUCCUUGAGUCGCGUGCAGAGCAGUACAUGGAAAGCUGGUUAGAUCGGCAUGAUAAGGAACGACGGAAUGAUGAGCUCCUUAAGGCUAUGCAUAACCUUGUACAGACGGCUGAGAUUCUUUCAACAAUUGACGCUGGCCAAAGGACACAUCGUGCUUGCGCUCGUGCUUCUCUCCUAUCUCUUCAGAUCCGAAUACCUGAUCUUGUAUGGAUUGGUCUUACAGAAACCAACGCACGCCGUAUUUUUGUGGAUCAAUCUAGGUUCCAGGAGGCCCUCAUUGUUGCCGAAGCAUACAGCAUAAAUCAGCCAAUGGAAUGGGCCCCAGUCUUUUGGAACCAGAUGCUGAAACCUGACCUCAUCGAGCUAUUUGUGGCUGAAUUUGUACUGGUUCUGCCCCUGCACCCACCAAUGCUCGUGGAGCUUGCGAGAUUUUACCGGGCAGAGGUUGCAGCCAGGGGCGACCAGUCGCACUUCUCAGUCUGGCUUUCGCCUGGAGGCUUGCCUGCGGAGUGGGGAAAGCAUCUCGGCAGAUCAUUCAGGAGCCUGCUGCGCCGAACGAGGGAUAUGAGGCUGAGGCUGCAGUUGGCAACUCUGGCGACUGGGUUCAGCGAUGUCCUUGAGGGCUGCAAUGCAGUUCUGGACAAGGUCCCCGAGAACGCCGGGCCGCUAAUACUGAGGAAGGGCCAUGGGGGUGCAUACCUCCCUCUCAUGUAA